CCCUUAGAUGUUCUGGGCCGCACGCGCGCUACACUGAUGCAUUCAACGAGUCUAAAACCUGCUCUGAUAGGGGUGGGUAAUCUUUUGAAUGUGCAUCGUGAUUGGGAUAGAUGAUUGAAAUUUUUCAUCUUCAACGAGGAAUGCCUAGUAAACGCAAGUCAUCAGCUUGCAUUGAUUACGUCCCUGCCCUUUGUACACACCGCCCGUCGCUCCUACCGAUUGAAUGGUCCGGUGAAGCGUUCGGACCGUGGCCUUUGGACGGUUCGCCGUCUGUUGGCUGCGGGAAGUUCGUUAAACCUUAUCAUUUAGAGGAGGGAGAAGUCGUAACA
RNAcentral lists this ribosomal RNA (329 nucleotides) under uncultured eukaryote. RNAcentral describes it as "partial 18S ribosomal RNA". It matches the Rfam family "Eukaryotic small subunit ribosomal RNA", at positions 1470 to 1796 of the family's 1831-position model. The record is from RNAcentral.